AACGAACGCUGGCGGCAUGCCUAACACAUGCAAGUCGAACGAGACCUUCGGGUCUAGUGGCGCACGGGUGCGUAACGCGUGGGAACCUGCCCUUAGGUUCGGAAUAACUCCCCGAAAGGGGUGCUAAUACCGGAUAAUGUCUUCGGACCAAAGAUUUAUCGCCUUUGGGUGGGCCCGCGUUGGAUUAGCUAGUUGGUAGGGUAAAAGCCUACCAAGGCGACGAUCCAUAGCUGGUCUGAGAGGAUGAUCAGCCACACUGGGACUGAGACACGGCCCAGACUCCUACGGGAGGCAGCAGUGGGGAAUAUUGGACAAUGGGCGAAAGCCUGAUCCAGCAAUGCCGCGUGAGUGAUGAAGGCCUUAGGGUUGUAAAGCUCUUCUACCCGGGAUGAUAAUGACAGUACCGGGAGAAUAAGCUCCGGCUAACUCCGUG
Molecule: ribosomal RNA, 433 nt
Filed under: uncultured bacterium
Lineage: Bacteria
Description: partial 16S ribosomal RNA
Rfam family: Bacterial small subunit ribosomal RNA
Source: RNAcentral